This 219-nucleotide ribosomal RNA is filed under the name Alexandrium tamarense. RNAcentral describes it as "partial Bacterial large subunit ribosomal RNA". It matches the Rfam family "Bacterial large subunit ribosomal RNA", at positions 13 to 229 of the family's 2925-position model. Lineage: Eukaryota; Dinophyceae; Gonyaulacales; Pyrocystaceae. The record is from RNAcentral.
AAGAGCCAACGGUGAAUGCCUUGGCGCCUAUGACCGAAGAAGGACGUGGAUGACUGCGAAAAGUUACGGUGAGCCGUCUAUCAGGCUUUGACCCGUAAAUGUCCGAAUGAGGAAACUCAGCACUCGUUAUUGAGUGUUAUUCCAGUGUGAAUACAUAGCACUGGUAAAGGGAACCGGGGGAAUUGAAACAUCUCAGUACCCCGAGGAAAAAAAAAAAAA